Molecule: ribosomal RNA, 255 nt
Filed under: uncultured bacterium
Lineage: Bacteria
Description: partial 16S ribosomal RNA
Rfam family: Bacterial small subunit ribosomal RNA
Source: RNAcentral
GCAAGUCGAACGGACUCGUAUUGAAACCUAGUGAUAUAUGAGUUAGUGGCGGACGGGUGAGUAACGCGUGGGUAACCUGCCUUACACAGGGGGAUAACACUUAGAAAUAGGUGCUAAAACCGCAUAAGCGCACAGCUUUGCAUGAAGCAGUGUGAAAAACUCCGGUGGUGUAAGAUGGACCCGCGUCUGAUUAGCUUGUUGGCGGGGUAACGGCCCACCAAGGCGACGAUCAGUAGCCGGCCUGAGAGGGCGGAC